Pseudopipra pipra is the source of this 7401-nucleotide long non-coding RNA. RefSeq lists it as uncharacterized. The transcript has 2 exons. The record is from RefSeq and is a predicted model, not a curated record. Lineage: Eukaryota; Metazoa; Chordata; Aves; Passeriformes; Pipridae.
CCCGCCGAGCUUCGCUAUUGGCCAGCGGCGACCCCGCCCCUUCUCAAGCGAGAGGCGGCAACGCCGGGCCGGAAGUGAGGCCCUGUGCACCGCCCCCUCAGCCGCGAGCGCGGAUCCCGAACCGGCAUCCCGCGUCCCGGACCCGCAUCCCUCAUCCUGCAUCUCAGACCCGCAUCCUGCAUCUCGCCCCCCCCCCCGCGUCCCACUUUCCCGUCCCACCCCUGCGCUCCGCACCCCACCCCGUGUCCUACCCCUGCGACCCACCCCCCGCGUCACACCCCGCCAUCCCACCCCGCGACCCGGCCCCGCGUUCCCCAGCGCAGAAGGAGCCGCUGGAGCGGGAGGUGAAAGGAGACUUUAUGUAAUGUUGCCACAAGAAGAGCAUGGCAGAAUACUCUUCUUGUGCAAUGCAAGCCUUGAGAUGUAGCCUGCAUUCAGAAAGGAACUAUUGCUCUGUGCUUGGCAAGACACUGGAGGAACUCUCUCGAAUUAUCAGGAAAAUGGAGGUAAACAAGGCAUUUUUUUUGAGCACUAGUUACCCUCACAAGUGCAACACCAAGGACCUUGCCAUUGUUCCAAGGAAAUGUACUCCAUCGGCACUGUUGUAGGUUUUCCAUUCUGUUUUUGCUGAAGGAAACUACCACUGAUCAGCAAAAUAUCUGAACUUGACCCAACUAAGUGCAGAGGACCUUUUCCUUCCGGGCUUUAUGUCUAACUAACCACUAACACUCUUCACUGCUCUUAAGGAACUCUGACAGCACUAGGAAACACCAAACAGGCAUGCCAAGGUUGAAGACACCAAAUGACUUCCUCCAACAUGGUCAAAAUACAUCACUCACCUCCAUUAGGCAGGUUCCAGUCACGCACACUCUUAACACCAAUUUUUCUUCACAGAUCUCUAUUUUAAAAUGCUAUGCCUGACUCUCCAGAUCUAACAGCAAUGUAACAAGCAAUUUAAUUAAAAAAAGAACUAGUGGAAACCUGCCCUAUCAUUUUAGAAACGCUGCUUUAUAGAAAAUUCUGAGGAAAAAAAAAAAAGGAAAGCCAGACUUGCUACUGCCACGUGCUACAGUCAGUCAGCAGCACUCUAAAACGGCUGGAAAAGCAGGCUACAAAACAGGUUUUCUCUACUAAUCUAGACCUGUCUUUAGCAGAGGUAGGUAGGAGUAGGUCAAUGAAGAGAGAAUUAGAAAACAGUAUUUCAGAUGUAGUUUAGAGCCUGGGUGUUCUUCUCUACUCUUCCUUUAAUCUCUGUUGCUUCGUUUUUCUUUGUUGUUGCAAUAACCAUGUCAACCUACUUAUUUUUUAAAAACUGGACCCUGGUAGGCUGCAACAGAUGCAUGGCAUUAGUCAGUGGUUGCUCCCAGAGAGAGGAGUGACCAGUGUGGGUGAGAAGGAGGAAGAUUCAAGGAAGUUUCUUCACCGCAGAACUUCAAGCACCGCGUGCGAAGCCUGGCAGGCUCAGGUAUUAACCCACCAGCACAACUCAGUCACCUCAGUCUCAAACUUUGCUGUUGGCAGAUGCAGAUAUAAAAAUUUCAGCUUUCAGGGCACGGCUUCAACACUUCAGAACUCAACUGCGCAAUGAAUAAUAAGCAUGAAUUGAAAAUACACAUUUUAAGCAAAGAGAGAAUCCAGCCAAGUCUCUGAUGAACCAUUUUUUCUGUAGCCUGUUCUAAAAGCCUUUCAGGUUGUGGACACUAAGAAUAUGGCCACAGUGAAAUGUGUGUGUAAUCAUUUCAGUGCAGUCCUAUUCCAAACAGCAGACAGACAAUAAACAACAAAGUACAGAGUAUGCAAAAGAUUGAAAAGCUCUUAUUCCCAGAUUUUCUACCAUUUUUUAUUACUGUUUUAAGAUUAAUUAAAACAGAACUGCUAGACUUUUCUUCCAAAUGACCCUCUCCUUUAAAAGCAACAUUAAGACUUAAUAUAUGUUUAUAUGAAAUGUACUCUGAUUUCCCUUUUCCAGGUUCCUGUAACUAAAAAAUUCAAUAUAUAAGCCUAACGCUAAGAAACACCUUUAGUGGUCCUCAUGCUGCUUUGUGUUCCACAGAAAACAAAACUUCAGUUUAUUAUGUUCAUAGUCAUCAUUUGAAUUUUUAUUUUUUUCUCUUUAAUUUUCAACUUAUAGUUUGCUUACAGAGCCUUACUGAAAUCCCCAUUUUUUGCAUUCUUGUAUGCAACACAGCUAAAUGACAGUCACCUAAAAGAGAAAAAAAACCAACAAACCUAUCUGAAAUAGUUUCAAUAUCAGGAUUCAAAGGCUUAUCAAACUGAGCAUCUCCCAGAAUCUUAGCAGCAAAAUUCAACUACACAGAAAGGAGCAGGACAGAGCAAAUCAGCCCGUUCCCCCACUGAGAACCAGAGAUGACUAAGCCAUCUCUGUUGAGUUGAGCUCAGUAAGUUAAGCUGCUCUGUCAACCCAAAUGAAAUUUUGGUAAUUAUCAAACAGCUCUUGCAAGAACCAAAGCUCAUGAUUUUCCGUAAUCUUAAAAAGAGAGGAUCAAUUUCAAGAGAUCUUCAGUUCUAGAUAAGACCAUUGCAUUCAUGUUUCCCUGCUUGCUUAAAAUCACCUCUAAGGUUCUUCUCUGAUGAAAACUUUGCAAGCAAGAGUAGAGAAAUAAAAGCAGAUUAAUGUAGACAUCAUCCAGAAAAGGUAUUUUCCUCCCAGUUCUCAGGUUUUAACUUUUUAAACACCUGUUUCAAGAAAAGAGCAAUUAAAAAUGUGUGCCUCAAAAUUAAGCCUCCUGUAUGUGCAAACAUGGGGUUUUUUUAAGUCCUUCCUUACUCAAAGCAGCUCCCUCAGAAAUGCUUUCUCUCUCAACUGUAUUUAGGACUGCAGUCAAAGUCAUUAUAUAUUUGUUUAUGUCUUUUUAAACCUAUUAUUAGAUAGCAUUUGUCCUAGAACUGUAAAGAGCCGUGCAGGUCUCCCACAAACCUAUCCUACCACCAGAAGCCUUUAAUUUCCAUGGAUGCAAAACACAUACACAAAGAGCUAAUGAAUUGUCCCAAGGAAAAAAGAUUAACUCUUACUUUAAAUCAGACAGCAAGUUAUACACUUUUAUGAAGAAAUCUACUGAGACUUAAGACUGCUUCAAAGCAGGAACUGAAAUACAACUGCAGCUAUGAAUAAUAUACAAACUUUUUGAUCCAUAACUAAUCCUAGCUUCAUCUUUAAAAAAAAUUUAAAAAAAAAAUCACAGCAGCUGAAUAUAUAUGCAAAUAUACACAAACCCCCUGACCAGAGGUUAAUAAGUAACUGUGUUGGAUCAGAGCUUAGAGACCAUAAAUUGCAACCUGUGUUCACACAUCUCUAACCCAUCAGCUCUUGGGCUGGUGUGGAAGUGGAAAAUCUCAUCCCACACACUGUUUAGGUGACAUUAGAAUCUCAUGUUUUCUGUUCAGAUAUUACUCAGCAGAACAGUUACCUCUGAUAACGAUGCAGCCUCCCUCUCAUAUAAAAAGGCAAGAUGGUCAAAAUAUCCCCUUGAAUGCCCAACUGUACUGAAUCAAGAGACUGCUGCCAAGGAUUUAAUGCUCCAACACUAAUUUUCAAUAUUUUCAAACUUGAUAUGAAAACUGCAUUUUUUAUUACAGGGAGUAUAACAGUCAUUGGUCAUUUGCAUUCAUCCACCCCAGCACUAGUGCAGAAGUGCCUUCUGAAUAGGGAUGAGAAAACAGGGCAAGUUUUGUUACCAAGUUGUGUUUCUACUCAUCUUGCACUAGGCAGUGCAUGGAAGGUAGGUGAGCAGAAAUGCAACAAAUAUACCCCAUGUUUUCACAUACACAGAUGCCAUGUGCCUAUCUCAAAAAUACAGAAGUUCAGACGUGCAGCAAAACGUGUUAAAGCACUUUAAACGCUCUCCAGAUGACAAUGAGCAAUGCAAUACUCAGACAACUCAAAGCACAGUAAAACAUUUGUGCUUACACUUCAAGUUUCAGAAUAAAAUUAUUUCUAUCAGAGUAUCUGAAGUGCAACGAAAGGAAUGUUCCACUGAAAUCAGAAGCAAGAGACACCAUUUAAAGAACCGGGAAAAUAUGCGCAGGUCAGAUUACCACCUUAUAAUAAAUAAUAAAACAGCAGGAACAUGCAGACCUUAAAGUCAAAAUUUGUUUCUAGAUUCAUGAUAUGUAAAAAAAAAAAAAAAAAAAAAAAAGCAAAAAUCAAGAACAACCCUGUCUGAUUUCCCCACAUCUGAGGUCUUUUUGGCUAAACAACUGUUACUUUGUUGUAAGGAACACAGGUAUUGCCAGAAAACAUUAUUUACAGAAUGAUUAUCAGAUUGAUUACAUAAAAUAGAGAUGAAAAUAUACACCCUUAGGUUUGAGAUAAGCCAAGCAAAUUCACUGCUGCUAACUACAGCACUUUGAAGAAGGCGACAGGCACCAAAUAUCAAAGUUGAAUCACAAAACUACUUGAAGGAACAGACAAAUUUGGGAAGGUAGAGGUACAGCAAAGAUCAAUGAAGUUGGAAUGGUUUAUAAUUCAUACUAAUAUACCAGAAAUUAUUUAGCUUCAUUAAAACUCUAUUUCUCAUAUAUAAAACUGAAGAGAAAUCUUUACUCCCAGACUGUGAUUUCUACAGGUACUGAGCAGCUUUUUUCUUAGUGGAUCUAUGUAAUGCUUUGUACUCUACAUCUUAUAAAAUACAUCCCCACGUUUAAGUGCAUGACUAGAAACUGCGCUGAAAUCAUGGAAAAAGCGCUUCAUAAAUCACAGGCGCAAUAAAGUCACAACAAUGCUCAGCUCCAGUUUCUGGAAGCAGUUCUGUGAGAGGUGAAGUUUUAGAAAAGGGACUUCGAUCCCUGGUUUUCAAACUCUGACCACGCGUCGUUCAAUUCCAUGAAGAUCAUUUUGGCAUACUGCUCAUAAGGCUGUCCCGUGGCCUGAAGACAAACAGAACAUAUAAUAAGCAUUAAAAUAUUAGGAAUUAGGUGACUUAGAAAAGAUCUCACUCCUUUUAUAUUUGUCCUCUUAUUCAACAACUUUAGACUGAUUUGUGAACAUAAUUUUGCAGACACGUAACUCUCUCUAACCUUAUCCAAAGCUUGCCACAAGUAUUCUAAACAAAACCAAACCCUUGGAUUCCUUAAAUUAUCUUCAAGCUUACAGAGCAAUUCAUAAAUAACUGAAACUUAGCUAAAAACAGUUUUCAAAGCUCUUUCCAUAAAAAGUUUUAGUUAUUAUCACUUAACCGAUCAAAUAAGUAACUUUUGCAUUUGCUUCCUGAGACAGCUUGCAGUGGUGCACAAGGAUAAAAUCUGAGUACUUUUUAAAGACAACUCCUUCUGGAUGGGAUUUUUUGGAGUAAAAUCUGUUGCUGAUUGUCACUGAUGUUAAGAUUCAUGCAAUUCAUGUAACAUGAAUUACAUUGCACUUCCUGUGCGUUUCCUUCCACACUCAAAGACAGUAUUGAUCACGAUUCCCUGCCUAUUUCACAGCAGCCCUGACUCUGGGCCCAACACAACCCAACCCUCGUGGUUCAUAGAGAUCCAGUCCCAAAACAGGAAUUAUUUUACCAGGUUCUUUCCAACACAAAAGGGAAGCUUCAGAGCCCUUUCCAGUAUCCUUCCCCUUCUCCUGCUGCUUAGCUCUUGCCAGCUGCAGUACUGUAUUGACUCUUUUAGAGGGUUCUUUAGUGGAUAAGUGGCAGAAAAAAAUAAAUGAGAAAGAAGACUGUGUCUCAAAGAGACCGGUUUUCUGACACUGAUGCACUGAGGAGCCUCCAGAAAACACCAAAAAAAACAUCACAAGGGUAAAAGAAGCCACAUAGCCAAAAAUACUGAAGGACAGGGGGGAGAAAAAAACCCAAAGAGUGUGUUGUUUUUUUCUGUUAUGGACACAAGACAACACAGAAUUGAGACUACUGCUCACUGAACCACCAGUGACAGCAAGCCUGAAAAUUCAAACCAGGUAUAUUCAAUGCUUAUCUUUGUAUCUAAAAUACAACUCAGAGCAAUAGCUCAGAACAAGAAGGUACCUUCAUACACUGGAAGACUAACAAACCAUGGAAUGCAUUAAAUAUUUUAAAAAGACUACUGGAAUAUCACACUUAUCACAUACUUUUCAUCUGAUCAUUUGUUUACUAAAGUAUACUUUUUCUAGUAAAAAUUGUUUAGUAAACAAGUUUCAGCAGGUUUUUCCUAAUGGUUUUGCUAUGGCAGCCUCUGAGUCUCCAUUUACAGGUGCAUAGUCCUAAAAGACCUGAAAUAUCAGCUCACGGAAAUAAGCCAGAUUCCACUAACCAGCACUAAACCUGCCUGCAGUCAGAAUCCAGCAUAACUGACUUUGGUGCUCAGUACAUCUUUCAUAGGAUGUUUCAUUUAUUAAUGCUUACCUGUUGAAUUCUGUUCUGUGUCAGGACGACAAGAAAAAUCCCAGACUACCUGAAUGCAGCAGGACACCACAUUCAGAAGACAACAGAAGCAAAGUGAAGAGCACCUAGAGUGCUGAUCAAGAAGCAAGGCAUUUUCCAGUGACUAGUACAGUGUGGUAAAAGCAGCUUGUAGUCCUUCUAAAGUAAAGAAGAUCAGAGGACCACACUUACCUUAUCUGGAUGAACUACAAGGACUGCUUUCCUGUAGUACUUCUUUACUUGUUCAGGAGUUACUAAAUCUGCCAUGCUGACUGGUUUCCACUUAGUUUCCCCUUCCCAAAGCACUGUAUGAAGAGUGGAUAUUAAUGCUCUGAUAUUUCUCUCCUUUCCUUCAAUCCAUUCAAGAAUCUGGGAAAAUCAGAAUAUAUAGAACUGAAUGCAGCACUGUAAGGAUUCUCAGUCUUUCUACAGACAUAAUCCUCAUUCUGUGCACAAUUACAAUUUUAAGACUCAAGCACAGUUGUCUUACUGCACUCACUCCCCAAGUUCAACUGUUUUAGCCAUCUGAAAGUGAAACUUUUCAUCUACCACUCAGGAGUAGUUCACUGUUAUUAGUUUACUGCAAAAAUUCAGUCAUUGCAAGAGAUAUUACUGAGAUAGUUACAUAUCACAAACCUCUGUAAAAACAAUGACAAGGCAAUUGUCAGGAGUAAUUAAAAGCAUCUGUUACAAUUAGAUGUUACAUUCAAAUUACAUUAAUCUUGUCCCCGUCAGGGCACAAGGUUAAUUUACUAAAACUCUUACCUGAUUUGUAAAAAAGCAUAAGUGCACAAGCAUUGUACAAAAGAUCAUGUAUAUUAAUAGUCAAUGUUUACUUAAGCAACUGGCAGAGGAGCACAAACUAAAGUGUUCUUGGAGAUAUCCCCGACAAAGUUAUUCUGAUAACUGGCCAUUUCCAAAUUUAACAGCAAUAUUCAAGCCACUGAUAUAGUGAUAGUGUUUUCAUUGAAUGCUUAUGUAAUAUGACAAUCUCUGCCAUCUAUCAACAAUGAGUAUGGUAAAUAAAAAUCUGUAUUUAUUUCCA